Molecule: ribosomal RNA, 511 nt
Filed under: Artemia persimilis
Lineage: Eukaryota; Metazoa; Arthropoda; Branchiopoda; Anostraca; Artemiidae
Description: partial 12S ribosomal RNA
Source: RNAcentral
UUUGAUACAAAUAGGGCAAGAAUAACUAAGGGUGAAAUCUGUAUUCUUUUGGCGGUCUUUGAUUAAAAUAACCUUCAGACGGAGAAAUGACUAGGAUUAGAUACCCUAUUAAUCCGUCCAAUUUAACCUGGGUAGUAAAUUUCAAACCUAAAGAAUUUGGCGGUUUCUAAACUCACUAGAGGAACCUGCCCCAUAAUCGACAAUCCACGAAGAUACCAACCCGGACUAGUCAAACAGUUUAUAUACCGUCGUUUAGGGGGUUAAAUUAAUAACCCCCCUUAAUUGCUUAGGCAAAUAAAUCAGAUCAAGGUGUAACUUAUGCCCGGGGGGAGGUGGGUUACAAUAAGAACUUACACGGAAUCCAAGUCUUAGGACAUGAAGGAAGGUGGAUUUAGAAGUAAGAUUUAGCUUUCUGAAGAGAGCUCUAAGUAAUGUACACAUCGCCCGUCGCUCUCUUGUCUGAAGAGAUAAGUCGUAACAAAGUAGGUAAACCGGAAGGUUUAUCUUGAAA